AUGAAUUGUACCUUGGCAAUGCUAUUUAGUAAAUGCGUGGUCCAUCAAGAAGGAAAAAGAAAAAACUAAAGAUGAGACGUAAUUUAGAAUUUAGUUAUCCAAAACUAAUGAAAGUAAUGGCAUUCAAGAAGAAAGUGGGGAAGAGAGAGAAAACAAUAAUAAUAAUGAUAUUCCAGUUAGAGGUAAGAUAUGCCCUGAAGGAGAGCCAACAUUCCAUGACUUGAAUGAAGUUGCUGCAUCUUAUGUCUUAAGAAUCUUCUAUUGAAUUAGCCAAUAAUUAUGGAUAGAAACAAUUUUCUUCAUUAUCGACCAUGAUAUAUAGUGAUCUUUCACCUUGUUAACCUUUAACUUGAACUGAUACUAAAGAGUGCUGCUCCUAUACCCUUCUUUAUGCCUUAUUUUGAGGUUUCAAUGACUUUUUUUUUAAUAAAUUCAGUAUUUAAAGUUGAGAGCUCUUCAACGUCAAUCCUAUACACAUUACUUUUAUGAAGCAACUGUUGGAGCUGGUCUUCCAAUUAUUAGCACUUUACGGGGUCUCCUUGAAACUGGAGAUAAAAUAUUGCAAAUUGAAGGAAUUCUCAGUGGGACUUUGAGUUAUAUUUUCAACAACUUCAUAGGUGCACAAUCAUUUAGUGAAGUGGUGGCACAGGCAAAGCAGGCAGGUUAUACUGAACCAGAUCCAAGGGAUGAUCUAUCUGGAACAGAUGUUGCAAGAAAGGUGAUUAUUCUUGCCAGAGAAUCUGGUUUGAAGUUAGAACUUUCAGAUAUCCCUGUUCAAAGUCUUGUGCCUGAAACAUUGAGAGCCAGUGCAUCUGCUGAAGAAUUUAUAGAGCAGCUACCUCAAUUUGACCAAGACAUGGCAAAGGAAAGACAAGAAGCUGAGGACUCUGGUGAUGUCUUGCGAUAUGUUGGGGUGGUGGACGUGGUGAGGCAAGAAGGGCGUGUUGAGUUGCGAAGGUAUAAGAAAGAUCAUCCAUUUGCACAGCUUUCAGGUUCUGAUAACAUCAUAGCUUUCACUACUACAAGGUACAAGGAACAGCCUUUAAUAGUCCGCGGACCUGGUGCUGGAGCUCAGGUGACAGCUGGAGGAAUAUUCAGUGACAUUUUACGACUGGCUUCAUAUCUUGGUGCUCCAUCAUAAUAACCUCAGCUUUUCUAUACGAGGUUCCAUCUAUGGAGAGCUGAGUUUGUGCUUUUGUCAACGUAGUUGUAGCAGUGUUUUUGCUCUAGUUUUUGUAUGCUAAUGAAUGCUUUGCAAAUAGAGGUGCUUCUUUUACUUGAACAGCUUUUGGUGUUAAGAGUAAGUUUUGCAACCAUUUAUGGGCUUUGGUUUCUUUUUCUUGCCCAAGGCCCUGUAGCUCUUAAAAUUGUUAAAUCUAUUGCUCUCAGAAAUGCUCCUUGAGAAUUCAACAAGAGGCUUGAAUUGAAUGGUGAAGAAUACAGGUUAAAUAUGGUUCAACCUGGUUCGUUAUGUGCUUUUUCUUCUGAUCAAACACCGUCGCCUGUUCAUUUAGAAGUUAAUACUCAGUGUCUUAGAUUUUGA
Molecule: unclassified non-coding RNA, 1543 nt
Filed under: Hevea brasiliensis (rubber tree)
Lineage: Eukaryota; Viridiplantae; Streptophyta; Magnoliopsida; Malpighiales; Euphorbiaceae
Source: RNAcentral